UACAGAGGAGCCAAGCGUUGUCCGGAUUGACUGGGCGUAAAGCGCACGCAGGCGGAUGCGCGCGUGGGGUGUGAAAUCUGGCCGCUUAACGGCCAGGCGCCAUCCCAUACGGCGCGUCUGGAGUGAUGCAGAGGUCGGUGGAAUUGCCGGUGUAGUGGUGAAAUGCGUAGAUAUCGGGAGGAACACCAGUGGCGAAGGCGACUAUCUGGGCUGCAACUGACGCUGAGGCGCGAAGGCUAGGGUAGCAAACAGG
This 253-nucleotide ribosomal RNA is filed under the name uncultured bacterium. Its description in RNAcentral is "partial 16S ribosomal RNA". It matches the Rfam family "Bacterial small subunit ribosomal RNA", at positions 524 to 776 of the family's 1533-position model. The record is from RNAcentral.